UUUUGGACAAUGGGGGCAACCCUGAUCCAGCAAUGCCGCGUGAGUGAAGAAGGCCUUCGGGUUGUAAAGCUCUUUUGUCAGGGAAGAAACACCGGCUCUAACACAGUCCGGGAAUGACGGUACCUGAAGAAUAAGCACCGGCUAACUACGUGCCAGCAGCCGCGGUAAUACGUAGGGUGCAAGCGUUAAUCGGAAUUACUGGGCGUAAAGCGUGCGCAGGCGGUUAUACAAGACAGGCGUGAAAUCCCCGGGCUUAACCUGGGAAUGGCGCCUGUGACUGUAUAGCUAGAGUGUGUCAGAGGGGGGUAGAAUUCCACGUGUAGCAGUGAAAUGCGUAGAUAUGUGGAGGAAUACCAAUGGCGAAGGCAGCCCCCUGGGAUAACACUGAUGCUCAUGCACGAA
Molecule: ribosomal RNA, 402 nt
Filed under: uncultured bacterium
Lineage: Bacteria
Description: bacterial SSU rRNA
Rfam family: Bacterial small subunit ribosomal RNA
Source: RNAcentral